Sinocyclocheilus anshuiensis is the source of this 281-nucleotide long non-coding RNA. RefSeq lists it as uncharacterized. NCBI's taxonomy places the organism in Eukaryota, Metazoa, Chordata, Actinopteri, Cypriniformes, Cyprinidae. The record is from RefSeq and is a predicted model, not a curated record. The transcript is spliced from 3 exons.
UUCAUAACAUUGCAUGUAUAAAUAACAGCUUGCAGGCACACAUGUGCAUUCUUCCUCUCUGCACAGUCUCAAGCUACAACAUUCUACAACAUGAUUUGCCUGACAGGAGUGAUUGUGCUGCUCUUUGCAGUGACUGUUGAUGGAAGAGUUGGGGACUCCAGUGAAUCCAGUUACUGCACAGAGACAAAGGAAUGUUUUCUGUUCGACUUGGUUUGUGCAGGAAAAGAUUAUGAGGUGAGAUUCAAGAUGUACAUAAAGAAACUGAAUAGAUAAAAUAACAA